ACUCCGUGCCAGCAGCCGCGGUAAUUCCAGCUCUAAUAGCGUAUAUUAAAGUUGUUGUGGUUAAAACGCCCGUAGUUGGAUCUUCGGUCUUGAGGCUCGGUAGCUCGUAAGGGCUUAACUGAGUCCUCUGGCCUAAAUUUUAGUAUUCUCCUGAUGCUCUUUAUUGAGUGUCUUGAGUUGCUAGAACGUUUACUUUGAAAAAAUUAGAGUGCUAAAAGCAGGCUAUAUGCUUGAAUAAAGUGCAUGGAAUAAUGGAAUAGGACUUUAGUUUUAUUUUGUUGGUUUUCGAAAUUAAAGUAAUGAUUAAGAGGAACAGACGGGGGCAUUCGUAUUGUUGCGUUAGAGGUGAAAUUCUUGGAUCGCAGCAAGACGAACAACUGCGAAAGCAUUUGCCAAGAAUGUUUUCAUUAAUCAAGGACGAUAGUUAGAGGUUCGGAGGCGAUCAGAUACCGCCCUAGUUCUAACCGUAAACGAUGCCAACUAGCGAUCCGUCGGUGUUAAGAUUUGACUCGGCGGGCAGUUUCCGGGAAACCAAAGUUUUCUGGUUCCGGGGGAAGUAUGGUUGCAAAGCUUAAACUUAAAGGAAUUGACGGAAGGGCACCACCAGGAGUGGAGCCUGCGGCUUAAUUUGACUCAACACGGGGAAACUCACCCGGCCAGGACACAAUAAGGAUUGACAGAUUGAUAGCUCUUUCUUAAUUUUGUGGGUGGUGGUGCAUGGCCGUUCUUAGUUGGUGGAGCGAUUUGUCUGGUUAAUUCCGAUAACGAACGAGACUCUAGCCUAUUAAAUAGACGAUAAAUUUUUAGUAUAUCGAGCUUCUUAGAGGGACAAGCAGCUUCUAGCUGCACGAGAUUGAGCAAUAACAGGUCUGUGAUGCCCUUAGAUGUCCGGGGCUGCACGCGCGCUACAAUGAAAAUAGCAGCGUGCUUUAAAACCUUUUCUGGUAAGAAUUGGUAAACACGAAAUAUUUUCGUGCUUGGGAUAGGGGAUUGCAAAUAUUGCCCUUAAACGAGGAAUUCCCAGUAAGUGCAAGUCAUUAGCUUGCGUUGAUUACGUCCCUGCCCUUUGUACACACCGCCCGUCGCUACUACCGAUUGGAAGAUUUAGUGAAUUCUUCGGACUGGACUCGAAGUGAUGUAAAAGUCGCUACGAGAUUCGGAAAGAUGAAUGAACCAAAUUUUCUAGAGGA
This 1190-nucleotide ribosomal RNA is filed under the name metagenome. RNAcentral's name for it is "SSU rRNA". It matches the Rfam family "Eukaryotic small subunit ribosomal RNA", at positions 560 to 1780 of the family's 1831-position model. The record is from RNAcentral.